This 506-nucleotide ribosomal RNA is filed under the name uncultured bacterium. RNAcentral describes it as "partial 16S ribosomal RNA". It matches the Rfam family "Bacterial small subunit ribosomal RNA", at positions 29 to 523 of the family's 1533-position model. The record is from RNAcentral.
AGUGAACGCUGGCGGUAGGCCUAACACGUGCAAGUCGAACGGCAGCACAGAGGAGCUUGCUCCUCGGGUGGCGAGUGGCGGACGGGUGAGGAAUACAUCGGAAUCUACUCUGUCGUGGGGGAUAACGUAGGGAAACUUACGCUAAUACCGCAUACGACCUACGGGUGAAAGCAGGGGACCUUCGGGCCUUGCGCGAUUGAAUGAGCCGAUGUCGGAUUAGCUAGUUGGCGGGGUAAAGGCCCACCAAGGCGACGAUCCGUAGCUGGUCUGAGAGGAUGAUCAGGCACACUGGAACUGAGCAACGGCCCAGACUCCUACGGGGGGCAGCAGUGGGGAAUAUUGGACAAUGGGCGCAAGCCGGAUCCAGCCAUACCGCGUGUGUGAAGAAGGCCUUCGGGUUGUAAAGCCCUUUUGUUGGGAAAGAAAUCCAGCUGGCUAAUACCCGGUUGGGAUGACGGUACCCAAAGAAUAAGCACCGGCUAACUUCGUGCCAGCCGCCGCUGUAA